CUAAACUGAGGGAGGUACGUCGAAACUGACCGGCUAGAGGGACGUAGAGGUAAGCGGAACUCUCGGAGUAGCGGUGAAAUGCGUAGAGACCGAGAGGUACCCCGAUGGUGAAGACAGCUUACUGGGCGUCUCCUGACGCUGAAGCGCUAAGGCCAGGGGAGCGAAGGGGAUUAGAUACCCCCGUAGUCCUGGCUUCAAACGAUGUGGGCUUGGUGUCGGCCCCCUAUAGAGGGUCGUUGCCGGAGUUAACGCGUUAAGCCCACCGCCUGGGGAUUACGUCCGCAAGGAUGAAACUCAAGGGAAUUGACGGGGGCCCACACAACCGGUGGAGCACGUGGUUUAAUUCGAUGAUAAGCGAAGAACCUUACCAGGGCUUGACCUAGCGGUAGUAGAACCCCGAAAGGGGAACGACCCCAAGCUUUGCUUGAGGAGCC
This 434-nucleotide ribosomal RNA is filed under the name uncultured bacterium. RNAcentral describes it as "bacterial SSU rRNA". It matches the Rfam family "Bacterial small subunit ribosomal RNA", at positions 608 to 1042 of the family's 1533-position model. The record is from RNAcentral.